UACGAGUUCUCGUUGAUGAUCGGUGCUUGCACCGAGAUUCAACAUGGAACGAGUGGCGGACGGGUGAGUAACACGUGGGUAACCUGCCCUUAAGUGGGGGAUAACAUUUGGAAACAGAUGCUAAUACCGCAUAGAUCCAAGAACCGCAUGGUUCUUGGCUGAAAGAUGGCGUAAGCUAUCGCUUUUGGAUGGACCCGCGGCGUAUUAGCUAGUUGGUGAGGUAAUGGCUCACCAAGGCGAUGAUACGUAGCCGAACUGAGAGGUUGAUCGGCCACAUUGGGACUGAGACACGGCCCAAACUCCUACGGGAGGCAGCAGUAGGGAAUCUUCCACAAUGGACGCAAGUCUGAUGGAGCAACGCCGCGUGAGUGAAGAAGGCUUUCGGGUCGUAAAACUCUGUUGUUGGAGAAGAAUGGUCGGCAGAGUAACUGUUGUCGGCGUGACGGUAUCCAACCAGAAAGCCACGGCUAACUACGUGCCAGCAGCCGCGGUAAUACGUAGGUGGCAAGCGUUAUCCGGAUUUAUUGGGCGUAAAGCGAGCGCAGGCGGUUUUUUAAGUCUGAUGUGAAAGCCCUCGGCUUAACCGAGGAAGCGCAUCGGAAACUGGGAAACUUGAGUGCAGAAGAGGACAGUGGAACUCCAUGUGUAGCGGUGAAAUGCGUAGAUAUAUGGAAGAACACCAGUGGCGAAGGCGGCUGUCUGGUCUGUAACUGACGCUGAGGCUCGAAAGCAUGGGUAGCGAACAGGAUUAGAUACCCUGGUAGUCCAUGCCGUAAACGAUGAAUGCUAGGUGUUGGAGGGUUUCCGCC
This 809-nucleotide ribosomal RNA is filed under the name Lacticaseibacillus casei. RNAcentral describes it as "bacterial SSU rRNA". It matches the Rfam family "Bacterial small subunit ribosomal RNA", at positions 56 to 838 of the family's 1533-position model. The record is from RNAcentral. Lineage: Bacteria; Bacillati; Bacillota; Bacilli; Lactobacillales; Lactobacillaceae.